GUGGAUUAGAUACCCUGGUAGUCCUAGCUGUAAACGAUGGGCACUAGGUGUGGGAGGUAUCGACCCCUUCCGUGCCGCAGCUAACGCAUUAAGUGCCCCGCCUGGGGAGUACGGCCGCAAGGUUGAAACUCAAAGGAAUUGACGGGGGCCCGCACAAGCGGUGGAGCAUGUGGUUUAAUUCGACGCAACGCGAAGAACCUUACCAGGGCUUGACAUCCCGCGAAUCCCACCGAAAGGUGGGAGUGCCCGCAAGGGAGCGCGGAGACAGGUGGUGCACGGCUGUCGCCAGCU
This 291-nucleotide ribosomal RNA is filed under the name uncultured bacterium. RNAcentral's name for it is "partial 16S ribosomal RNA". It matches the Rfam family "Bacterial small subunit ribosomal RNA", at positions 773 to 1060 of the family's 1533-position model. The record is from RNAcentral.